CUCUUCCUCCCUCUGCAGAGCCAGCAACAGUGGCACAGAAUGUCCUGUCCUUAUUGAAAUGCCAGCCGCGUCUGAGAAGCACAUCUGUGCUCACCGGCCACGCAGAUAAGGCAAGCCUUGAACCCAGGUCUGUCUGAAGUCAGAGGAGAAACUU
This is a long non-coding RNA of Urocitellus parryii (Arctic ground squirrel), 154 nucleotides long. RefSeq lists it as uncharacterized. The record is from RefSeq and is a predicted model, not a curated record. Lineage: Eukaryota; Metazoa; Chordata; Mammalia; Rodentia; Sciuridae.